UGGGGAAUAUUGGACAAUGGGCGCAAGCCUGAUCCAGCCAUGCCGCGUGGGUGAUGAAGGCCCUAGGGUUGUAAAGCCCUUUCGGCGGGGAAGAUAAUGACGGUACCCGCAGAAGAAGCCCCGGCUAACUUCGUGCCAGCAGCCGCGGUAAUACGACGGGGGCUAGCGUUGCUCGGAAUUACUGGGCGUAAAGCGCACGUAGGCGGCUUUCUAAGUCGGAGGUGAAAUCCUGGAGCUCAACUCCAGAACUGCCUUCGAUACUGGAGAGCUUGAGUCCGGGAGAGGUGAGUGGAACUGCGAGUGUAGAGGUGAAAUUCGUAGAUAUUCGCAAGAACACCAGUGGCGAAGGCGGCUCACUGGCCCGGUACUGACGCUGAGGUGCGAAAGCGUGGGGAGCAAACA
Molecule: ribosomal RNA, 402 nt
Filed under: uncultured Rhodoplanes sp.
Lineage: Bacteria; Pseudomonadati; Pseudomonadota; Alphaproteobacteria; Hyphomicrobiales; Nitrobacteraceae
Description: bacterial SSU rRNA
Rfam family: Bacterial small subunit ribosomal RNA
Source: RNAcentral